UUUUUUUUUUUUUUUUUUUUUUUUCCUGAGUGAAUUUGCUUCAGAAGAGUCUGAGCUUUUCGCUUGGUUUAAAUACACUUUGGGCUUGAAAUGGGGAGUCAAGGUCAGCAGCCUGUAAUUUCAGAAGUAUUCAAGGAUGAUUCCUGUGUUCUUGCAGCCUAUCUUAAAGGCGAGAAACUUGCUUGGGGGACCAAAUUGUGUCCCCGAAAGCGCUUCCCCUGCCUGGAGCGCUGCAGCUCCCCCACAGCCCAGGCUCCCGCGGGGCCGGGAGGGGACGAUGCUCCUGCAUCUGUGCCUCGAGUGCCAAAUUCUGGUGGCAGCUGUUUGGGGCGAAGGGAGCGCUUCUCCCCUGACCUGUGUGGUGCCCUCUGACCCUCCACGAAUCCCUAAAAGCGGCGGUCCCCCGGGGCCACGGCACACGAGUCCCCUUUGUUCGCGGAGCUGGAGCCGCCGGCCUGGGCUGGACCCGACCUGGCGGGGAUGGGCUCGGGUUUAUCUCAUCUCCAGGGGAGAUGGGCUCGGGUUUAUCUCCAGGGGAGAUGGGCUCGGACUAUCGGGGAGCGUUCUCUGCUUCUGAACGCAUCGGCCAAGGCUGCAGCCAGAGGGAAUUCCGCCCCCUCCCCUUCCGCCCCUGCCCAGCCUUUAGGAACAUACGUAGGAACGGUAUUGCCAGAAAUUAUCUUGGUACAAAGAGGGGGCUUUUAUUCCAGGAAAUGUACCCACGCCUAUUGCAAAGUGGUAAAAAAGCCGCACUCUAUUAUGCCUUACCAUCACAUAUAUAUAUUUACAGUAGUAUACUUACUAUCUAUUUAUCUUACAUGGUCUGUUUUUCACAUUUUUUUUAGUAUUUUUAAAAAUAUCUUGCCCUCUUUGGGCUUUUUAAUACAGAGAAAUUGCAUGUCAGAGAUGCUAAGAUUAUAUCUUGAAAGAUUAGUCUCCACCCUCUAGCUCCGUCAAAGUGCUGUUGCUUUUAUCUAACGUUAAAAUAACGCCAACCUCGCCUUUUGCUAACCUGGCAAAAUCAUUUCCUGCAUAUUUAUCAAUUUGGAGAGGUGGGUUAGCAUGGCAAAUUUCCUUGAACAAAGAUUGGAUGAGAUGUAUUAGUUCAUCCAAUACCAUGUCUGUCACUUAUGUAGACAGAAUAAAUCUGAGUCCCGGUUUUGCCCUCAAUCGUGCCUGAAUUAAGGAUACAUUUUAAUGAAAGUUUCAUGGGAAGAUUUAAAUUUGAGAUUCUUUUUGGAGAGAACUGUAUAAAACUACGUGAAAA
This 1267-nucleotide long non-coding RNA is filed under the name Taeniopygia guttata (zebra finch). RNAcentral describes it as "lncRNA (ENSTGUG00000020059.1)". The record is from RNAcentral. Lineage: Eukaryota; Metazoa; Chordata; Aves; Passeriformes; Estrildidae.